GUCCCUGUGAAAGCAGGGACGUUAUUAGAGCGACCUGAGCGAAACCUGAUACCCACCGGUGGGUAUCAGGUUUUUU
This 76-nucleotide small RNA is filed under the name Brenneria salicis ATCC 15712 = DSM 30166. RNAcentral describes it as "isrK Hfq binding RNA". The record is from RNAcentral. Lineage: Bacteria; Pseudomonadati; Pseudomonadota; Gammaproteobacteria; Enterobacterales; Pectobacteriaceae.